This 253-nucleotide ribosomal RNA is filed under the name uncultured bacterium. RNAcentral's name for it is "partial 16S ribosomal RNA". It matches the Rfam family "Bacterial small subunit ribosomal RNA", at positions 524 to 776 of the family's 1533-position model. The record is from RNAcentral.
UACGGAGGGAGCUAGCGUUGUUCGGAAUUACUGGGCGUAAAGCGCGCGUAGGCGGCUUUGUAAGUUAGAGGUGAAAGCCCGGGGCUCAACCCCGGAACUGCCUUUAAGACUGCAUCGCUGGAGUCCGGGAGAGGUGAGUGGAACUGCGAGUGUAGAGGUGAAAUUCGUAGAUAUUCGCAAGAACACCAGUGGCGAAGGCGGCUCACUGGCCCGGUACUGACGCUGAGGUGCGAAAGCGUGGGGAGCAAACAGG